Molecule: long non-coding RNA, 1567 nt
Filed under: Chrysemys picta bellii (western painted turtle)
Lineage: Eukaryota; Metazoa; Chordata; Testudines; Emydidae
Description: lncRNA (ENSCPBG00000015878.1)
Source: RNAcentral
GAGAGAGAGAGAGAGAGAGAGAGAGAGAAAUUUAGCUGUUUUGGUUUUUUUUGAACUAUCCCAAUUCAAAUAUUCAAAAACAGAUUCAUUCCCCUAAAAUUCAAGGAUGUUCAGAUCUGGGGUUCUGCUUCAGUUAUCUCUAUUUAAUGUGCUUCAACAGCUUAUGAUUUUGUGUGAUUGCACUGAAGACUGGUGAUCUAGGGACACAGUGCAAAAAGUAACAACCUAUAUAGGACAGAACAGAAUCUCCCUUUUUAACAACGUUUUCAUUACAACGGCUCUGCUCUUUAGCAGAGUCAUCAGAUGAUUCCCUUUAUUGGAUUUCUUUAUGUAGUGCAUGCUAUGAUCAUGUUUAGGUUGCUUUUUUUAAUUUGAUGGAGUUACGUAGGAUUAGGGUUCUUUAUCAAUGCAAUUCUCUGAGUAGCAAAUAGGGUUAAAAAGGAAAAAAUAUACAACUCUCCCUUCUCCAGCCUUUAAAAUGACAUGCCAGGAUAGUUUUAAGUUUACCCUUCACCCUAUGUGGACAAAUUUAUUUGCUGCCCCAGUUACUAAUGGUGAGACCUACAAUGCUAUAUUUCCUCCAUCUCAAUGACACCUUGCCUCUACAAUGAGCAAGUUUGAGAAGAAAAUCUCACUAUUUUAAUAAAAAGUAACAAGGAAUGUCUGCUUCCUCCAGCUUGUAAUAGUGGCCCAGUGGCAGAGAGGAAGCAGGCAGCACAUUCACUGAAGUGAACUGUUUCUCUUGAAAGUUGCUCCCUUAGGGUUUCUCAUUCCAACACCACACCCAACUCCACUCCAUUCCCAAGGAGAGCAGAUUUUCCAGCACGGAUCUGCACUGCCUGGAAAAUUUGUGGAAAUCAAGCAAAAAAGGUAAAGAAAGUGUGGUUUCUGUAUGUAGACUAUAGACAAACCCCAUCGACAACUGCUGCGGCUGGAGCCAUUCAUCUUACACUAAUAUUUGGAGUGGCAUGAGCUAAAAGCUAGGUGAGCGUAACACUAUACUCCCCAUCAAGGUGUCACCUUGCCUAGUUACAUCAGGGUAAAAACUGCCCAUGCCUUGUCUUCACUAGGAUUUCAGAGUGAGCCAGUAUGUUCUCUAUCUUGCUGUAACACCCCCCGACAUACACGUUUUGGCAGGUGAAGAUAAAAACUUAGCUGUUCAUCAAUAAGCUGCCUUUAUAAAUAUAUUAAAAUUACUGCUCUAACUCCUAGGGUGCUGUGAGAGGCCUAAUUAGUUAAUGCUAGUAAAACACUUGGGCAGUGUAAAUGUAUAAUAGAAUACAUUUAACAAAGCAACUGCACCUAGGCACUAUGCAGAGCUGGCUGCCUUUGCAAGCUAGGCACAGCAACUCUUUGGAGGCGGGUGGGCAGGUAACCCCCCCUUGAACCGGCAGCUGCCAGACUAAAGCAUUUUCAUUCUUGCCCCACUGACUGAUUUUACAUUUUGGCACAAGGACUUAACUGACUGCUCCUGGCAGCCAGGGCCGGCUCCAGGCACCAGCCCACCAAGCAUGUGCUUGGGGCGGAACCUGGAGGGGGACGGCGCGGCGCUCCGGCCCGAGAGCUG